Molecule: ribosomal RNA, 402 nt
Filed under: uncultured bacterium
Lineage: Bacteria
Description: bacterial SSU rRNA
Rfam family: Bacterial small subunit ribosomal RNA
Source: RNAcentral
CGGGCUUGAAAGUUAGUGACGAUACUGGAAACAGUAUUUCCCUUCGGGGCACGAAACUAGGUGCUGCAUGGUUGUCGUCAGCUCGUGCCGUGAGGUGUCGGGUUAAGUCCCAUAACGAGCGCAACCCCUGCUGAUAGUUGCCAUCAGGUAAGGCUGGGCACUCUAUCAGGACUGCCUGUGUAAGCAGGAGGAGGGUGGGGAUGACGUCAAAUCAGCACGGCCCUUACGUCCGGGGCGACACACGUGUUACAAUGGUAGGUACAGAGGGCAGCCACCCAGUGAUGGGGAGCGAAUCUCGAAAGCCUAUCUCAGUUCGGAUUGGAGGCUGAAACUCGCCUCCAUGAAGUUGGAUUCGCUAGUAAUCGCGCAUCAGCCAUGGCGCGGUGAAUACGUUCCCGGGCC